RNAcentral lists this ribosomal RNA (499 nucleotides) under uncultured bacterium. RNAcentral's name for it is "bacterial SSU rRNA". It matches the Rfam family "Bacterial small subunit ribosomal RNA", at positions 28 to 524 of the family's 1533-position model. The record is from RNAcentral.
GAUGAACGCUAGCGGCAGGCCUAACACAUGCAAGUCGAGGGGUAACAUUGGUGCUUGCACCAGAUGACGACCGGCGCACGGGUGCGUAACGCGUAUACAAUCUACCUUGUACUGGGGGAUAGCCUUUGGAAACGAAGAUUAAUACCCCAUAGUAUCCAUUAUCGGCAUCGUUUAUGGAUUAAAGGUUACGGUACAAGAUGAGUAUGCGUCCUAUUAGCUAGUUGGUAUGGUAACGGCAUACCAAGGCGACGAUAGGUAGGGGCCCUGAGAGGGGGAUCCCCCACACUGGUACUGAGACACGGACCAGACUCCUACGGGAGGCAGCAGUGAGGAAUAUUGGACAAUGGGGGCAACCCUGAUCCAGCCAUGCCGCGUGCAGGAAGACUGCCCUAUGGGUUGUAAACUGCUUUUAUACGGGAAGAAACACCUCCACGUGUGGAGGCUUGACGGUACCGUAAGAAUAAGGAUCGGCUAACUCCGUGCCAGCAGCCGCGGUAAU